Molecule: long non-coding RNA, 583 nt
Filed under: Ananas comosus (pineapple)
Lineage: Eukaryota; Viridiplantae; Streptophyta; Magnoliopsida; Poales; Bromeliaceae
Description: long non-coding RNA (ACOM_LNC034568)
Source: RNAcentral
AAUUACAGAAAACCCCCCUGUAAUAACCUGCUUUUUCACUUCCCCCCCUGACAUUUAAAAACCUACACUUUGCCCCCCUGUAAAAUAAAAAAUGUUCACAGGGGGGUUACGGUGUGUAAAAUGACUAUUUUGCCCCUCGCCAUUGUCAUCUUCUUCCCCAUCUUCCUCAGCCGCCCCUUCGUUCGGCCGUGAUUCCCACCUCAAUCGGCUGCGAUUUCUCUCCAUUUCCUUCACCACCUACUCUCCUUCUCCUCCUGCACCCUCGCCGCUCUCGAUUUCGGCGACAGUAGGAGAAAACCGAGGUGGGCGACAGUAGAAGAAGGGUAAAGAAGGCGAAGGCGAGGUGGCAGAGGACGGCGAAGGGGAAGUGGGUGAGGGCGAGGCAGUGGAGGACGGCGAGGCGGCUAGGCGGCGAGGCGGCGGCGACGUGGCGAGCCGGAGGAAGUCGAAGCAACAGGGNCUGUCAAAACCUGAUUUUUCACUUUCACCCCCUGUCAUUUAAAAACCUACACUUUGCCCCCUCAUAAAAUGAAAAAUGUUCAUAAGGGAGUACGGCGUGAACUGUGAUGAUAAAAUGACUAUU